Molecule: long non-coding RNA, 634 nt
Organism: Ostrea edulis (European flat oyster)
Lineage: Eukaryota; Metazoa; Mollusca; Bivalvia; Ostreida; Ostreidae
Exons: 3
Source: RefSeq, a predicted model, not a curated record
AACGUACAAUGAUGAUGUUGAAAACUUUUACUUGCUGACGUUUCAGACUGUCCGUCGGGCUAUGUUGGUGACUUUUUGGACUUGAAGUGCCGGUAUCCAAGUUUUGGUACGGAAUGUCAGAAUAAAUGUUUGUGCUAACAGGAGAAGUGUGAUCCAGCGACUGGAUUCUAAGGUAUUGUCAUGGACGUGGUAACAACACCUGCUGCAACGUCCAGGAUGACCCGUGAUAUUUCCGUAUCACUAAGACAUGAGGCUGACAUUGACCUUCAACUGUUCUAUCAAUGACUACAAUCUCAGUACAAUCUCACAGAAAACUGAUCAAGAUGUAGGGCUCAAGACGGGUGUGAUCCGUUGACAGGAGAUCCAUACUCCUCCUCAGGUUACAGAAAACGUGUUCAUAACAUUGUAUUCCUGUUGUAAGGACGUUAUCAGAAAACAUUACUAACAAAACAUUUUAAAAAUGUUAUAAUAGCAUUAUUUCCCAGUUGUGAAAAUAUUAUAAGCAAACGUUUUUAACCAAACAUUUGUCAGUGUUUUAGAAUAAUUUUGUGAUCGUUAUAAAAACAUUGUAAAACAUUGUUGAAAAUGUUAGGAUCAUUUUUCUUAUAAACAUUUGAAAAUACGUUUUCAAAAC